Molecule: long non-coding RNA, 1025 nt
Filed under: Mus spicilegus (steppe mouse)
Lineage: Eukaryota; Metazoa; Chordata; Mammalia; Rodentia; Muridae
Description: lncRNA (ENSMSIG00000011311.1)
Source: RNAcentral
CGCUGGUCUCUGGAAAGGCUGGUCUGAGGGUGAGGGGCUGGGGAAGAGGGGUUGCUUGCUGAGUAACCAUGGCAACUCUGCAGCCUCAGGGCACCCGGGUGCUCACACCCAUUCCCCCUAGAAUACCCAGAAAAGGGCGAUCUCUGCCUUGACUCAGACUGGGAAACUGAGGUUCAUGAACACCUGUCACUUCCUUCUGCCUACUCUGGGUUACAGUCUUGGAAUAAAAACCCACACUUGGUGUGUGACAAUGUCAGGAAGUCCCUGGCAGGGGGAGGGUGGGGAUGGAUUUAGAAAACCAAAUUUAUGGACCCUGGGGGAUUAGCUGGAGUAACCCUGGAAGGCUUCCUAGCAGAAGCACCUUUAUAAACCUCUCCUAGUGCUGUGAAGCCCCAGCCAGGGCCACCCUGGCACCCACUGAUUCCGCCUCAAGGAUUCUCUAGCCAGGUGAUUGUGCAUGCCUUGGGAGACAGAGGUAGGGGAAUCUCUGUGAGUUCAAGGCCAGCCUGGGGAAUACAAAGUAAAAUCCUGUGUCAAACUAACUGAAUGCUAAAACUUGCUAAUGACCACUCCAGUCCUCUCCUGCACAAUCAGACGGGUCAUUUAAUUCCAGGACAACCUCUGGUCUGCUCAUCUGUCUCCUCCUGGCUGUGUUAACCAUCCUUUCCCCUUAUCACAGCAGCAAGAGCCGCAAGUCCUAGUCACCUCGUGUGUCUGCCCCAGCCCAGGCCUGGCAAGGUGGCAGGAAAGGCACCAGACCUGGGGGAAGAGCAUGUUCAAAGGCUCCAAGAACAAGGCUGUGACCCAAGACUGACCCAGAGUGACAAUGACAUGAAAAUCAAGGUGCUGGAGGGCAGAGACUCUGCAGUUAACAGUAUGCAAGGCUCUUACAGAGACUCUGAGUUCAGAGUCCCAGCACUCUUGCUGGGCUGCUCACAACCGCCUGAGACUGGAGCUCUGGCCUUCACAUACCUGCCUCACAGACUGUAAAAAUAAAGUCAACUGAGGGCUAGAGAGAUGGCUCA